CUUCAGCGAACCGAGCCACAGCGGUCGGCCGUCGCGUCCCUGGCCGUAGGUGGCCAGCAGUGCCUUGGCCUC
Molecule: antisense RNA, 72 nt
Filed under: Streptomyces viridochromogenes DSM 40736
Lineage: Bacteria; Bacillati; Actinomycetota; Actinomycetes; Kitasatosporales; Streptomycetaceae
Description: ASpks TB sRNA
Rfam family: ASpks TB sRNA
Source: Rfam by way of RNAcentral